Molecule: ribosomal RNA, 433 nt
Filed under: uncultured bacterium
Lineage: Bacteria
Description: partial 16S ribosomal RNA
Rfam family: Bacterial small subunit ribosomal RNA
Source: RNAcentral
AGCGAACGCUGGCGGCAGGCCUAACACAUGCAAGUCGAACGAACUCUUCGGAGUUAGUGGCGGACGGGUGAGUAACACGUGGGAACGUGCCUUUUGGUUCGGAAUAACUCAGGGAAACUUGUGCUAAUACCGAAUGUGCCCUUCGGGGGAAAGAUUUAUCGCCAUUAGAGCGGCCCGCGUCUGAUUAGCUAGUUGGUGAGGUAACGGCUCACCACGGCGACGAUCAGUAGCUGGUCUGAGAGGAUGACCAGCCACACUGGGACUGAGACACGGCCCAGACUCCUACGGGAGGCAGCAGUGGGGAAUCGUGCGCAAUGGGCGAAAGCCUGACGCAGCCAUGCCGCGUGAAUGAUGAAGGUCUUAGGAUUGUAAAAUUCUUUCAACGGGGACGAUAAUGACGGUACCCGGAGAAGAAGCCCCGGCUAACUUCGUG